RNAcentral lists this ribosomal RNA (433 nucleotides) under uncultured bacterium. RNAcentral's name for it is "partial 16S ribosomal RNA". It matches the Rfam family "Bacterial small subunit ribosomal RNA", at positions 29 to 507 of the family's 1533-position model. The record is from RNAcentral.
AACGAACGCUGGCGGCAGGCUUAACACAUGCAAGUCGAACGGAUCCUUCGGGAUUAGUGGCAGACGGGUGAGUAACGCGUGGGAACGUACCCUUUGCUACGGAAUAACUCAGGGAAACUUGAGCUAAUACCGCAUGUGCCCUACGGGGGAAAGAUUUAUCGGCAAAGGAUCGGCCCGCGUUGGAUUAGCUAGUUGGUGGGGUAAUGGCCUACCAAGGCGACGAUCCAUAGCUGGUCUGAGAGGAUGAUCAGCCACACUGGGACUGAGACACGGCCCAGACUCCUACGGGAGGCAGCAGUGGGGAAUAUUGGACAAUGGGCGCAGGCCUGAUCCAGCCAUGCCGCGUGAGUGAUGAAGGUCUUAGGAUUGUAAAGCUCUUUCACCGGUGAAGAUAAUGACGGUAGCCGGAGAAGAAGCCCCGGCUAACUUCGUG